This 581-nucleotide ribosomal RNA is filed under the name uncultured bacterium. RNAcentral describes it as "partial 16S ribosomal RNA". It matches the Rfam family "Bacterial small subunit ribosomal RNA", at positions 355 to 1376 of the family's 1533-position model. The record is from RNAcentral.
UGAGGAAUAUUGGUCAAUGGGCGAGAGCCUGAACCAGCCAAAUCGCGUGAAGGAAGACUGCCUUAUGGGUUGUAAACUUCUUUUAUACAGGAAUAAAAAAGGGGACGUGUCCCUUAUUGCAUGUACUGUAUGAAUAAGCAUCGGCUAACUCCGUGCCAGCAGCCGCGGUAAUACGGAGGAUGCGAGCGUUAUCCGGAUUUAUUGGGUUUAAAAGGGUGCGCAGGCGGGCUUUUAAGUCAGCGGUGAAAUCUCGGGGCUUAACUCCGAAACUGCCGUUGAAACUGGGAGUCUUGAGUAUGGAUGAAGUAGGCGGAAUUCGUUGUGUAGCGGUGACAUGCUUAGAUAUAACGAGGAACUCCGAUUGCGUAGGCAGCUUACUAAGCCAUAACUGACGCUCAAGCACGAAAGCGUGGGGAUCAAACAGGAUUAGAUACCCUGGUAGUCCACGCCGUAAACGAUGAUUACUAGUUGUAUGCGAUAUACCGUAUGUGACUAAGCGAAAAGCGAUAAGUAAUCCACCUGGGGAGUACGCCGGCAACGGUGAAACUCAAAUGAAUUGACGGGGUCAUAGCUGUUUCCUG